Molecule: ribosomal RNA, 4546 nt
Filed under: Triticum aestivum (bread wheat)
Lineage: Eukaryota; Viridiplantae; Streptophyta; Magnoliopsida; Poales; Poaceae
Description: partial small subunit ribosomal RNA
Source: RNAcentral
CCUCGCCUAUCCCCCAAUGACGAUCCCCAAUUUCAGGCGUCGCCCAUCGCUGGGUGCUUCUCCGCCAUCGCCCGUGUAACCCCACCCAAUCCCUCGCUCGCUCGCCGGGAUCCAAGGUGGCCGCAGCGGCCGGGAGCAGACGCGCGCGGGAGGAGUAGUUCGGGUCCGCGCCGCUGCCCUUUGCCUCUGCCACCAACGCCGCCUGCGCCGCCGCCCUUUGCCACCGCCACCACCGCCGUCCGCGCCACCGCCCUUUGCCGUCGCCACCACCGCCGUCCCCUCCGCCGCCACCACCACCGUCCAAACCGCUCUCGGCCGUUGCCGGGGAUCCCGGCCGCGCAGCAAAUCCAGCGCAAAGGAUCUCAAGGCCUGCCGCCCUGCCCGGUGCACCCAUCCAUAGGCACAUGUUCUCCAUAGUUCCAUUGGAUCCCUUGCCGCCUCUCCUCUUUCCCUCGCUGGAGAAGCCUUUUUCAUCGUGGCUUGCCCUGGAUGCUAGAUUCUGCAAUUCCUCACCUGCAGUAUGGAAGUGCAUCUGCACCUGGGGCGCUAGCUGCUGAUGGCCAUAGAUAACAGCAACGUGUACGAGCGGAAGGCUUUUUCCUGAAGGGAUUGAGAUUACCAGGAUUCAGAUUGGAUCCCUGCUGUGUCAGUGCAGGAGAACUGCUCGAACACGUAGGCAUGACAUGGCCGAUGCUGAUUACACCUGGACUGCUUUGACAUAAAAGAUUCCCGGGCCCCUUGACUGAAAUCCUGACUAAAUUGCAAGUUUCCCUUCUUGAAAUUACUGCAUCUGAAGCUUCCAAUCUCACCAACUUCGCUGGAGCACCGUGCGCCCGUGCUCGAGCAGAGGUACCAAUUUUCAGUACUGUUUUUAGAGGCUUCUACGUGAAUCCCAUGCAUGGCUUUGUGGCAUGCAAGACUUUCCUGCUAGACAAGCAAGAAAACAGAGCCAUCACGCUUGCCCUACUGUAGCAGCCUUCAAAGCACCACAGAACCUGGGCUCUCUCAAUGUCAGUUCAUUAGCUGAGCUGAUCUCACAUGCUAACGCCAUGUAAUCUUUUUUCUACAUUCCACAUUUAUGAGUUGGAUUAUAUCGUAGAUUGCAGUUCAGAUCAUUAUCAUGUAUGUUGCUCCUUUGAAAGUUAGACUUCAUAAAGAAGCAAUUUGAUCCGACCACAAUACCUCUGAAUAGAUGCAUCAUGGAUUUGUGGGUUCACCUUCUUAGAAGGUGCAAUUCUGGUGAUGGUGUCAUAAUUGAUAAAUAUAUACAUUGCUUCAUAUGUUGGAUAGUUUUGGCGGCCUUCUUUGUGAGGUACACUUGACUGAUGAGGGCUUAAAAGGGGCCUUGGUUGUCUGUCAACUGAAAACUCUGUUUGUGCACAACCUAUAUCCUCUAUGAGAAGGAACUGGAUGGAGCAAGGUCUAAAUGCCUCAAAUUGCUUAAAGAUAUUCUAUGCUCGGCAAGGAGAUGGAGAGCGAGAAGUAUGGCAGGGUCCUUGAGUGGUAUUCGCUAAAGAAAUACUUGGAGAUCAAAAUCAUUAGAGAGUGAGGCUGCACUCUUAGUGGCAGGCAGAAACAAAGGAUUUAGAUAGCCCGAGCAUUGUAUCAGUAUGCUGACAACUAUUUGUUCCAUGAUCCGUUCAACGCAAUUGAUGCUCAUACAGGAUCCCAAUUUUCCAAGAUCGAUGGUUUCACCGCGGUCGUCGGGAGAAAUAUCAUCAAUGGUAGGGGAAAAGCAGGUAGGCUGAGGCGGGCAACCACACCAAGCGGCCGACCCAAGAAGGCAGCCCUGCAGCUCCGCCUUGUGCCACUCCCCAUCUCUAUGUUUGUGUCAGACCCAGCGCAAGGUAGAGGCAGAAGAGGAGGCCGGGAAGAGAAGCUGCAAGGUAGGAGGCUUUUGAUCUGAAGGCAAGAGUUGGACGAUCUGCUCACAAAGACACACCUUUAUUCUGAAUUUCUACUUGAAAAGAUUGAUCAGUAGCUGAAGUGGAAGAAGAAGAUGAACCUGUAGAAGAGCUGAAAAAAGGACGUGAUAGAAAGAAGGAAGCGAAGCCUAAACAGUAUAAUGAUUACUACCUCGCCCAGCCGCACAUCCAAGAUGCGACACUUGCUGGAAAGCUGGUCAAGUAGGCCCUCGACUGCGAGUUUUAGCAGAUUGAUCCUGCACAUUAGCCUAAUUGUUACAAUAAACGGACUUACAACAAUGAUGCUUUCUAUAUUGAAUUUUUAUGUUCGACCUCACCAUUGCUUAGUUUCCUUUCCUGAUGUCAAGACACAAAGAAUUUGAGAUUCAAUUUAUCUUUUUUAGUUUUUCAACUAGAGUGCUUCAUUUAUAUGUAUUACUGUAGACACAUGGGAAUCCUCAAGGUGUCAGGCUUGUUCUUAUUAUUGCUCAUGCAACCCUAAACUUCAGUUAAAUGUACUACGUCAGGUUUUAGUGUUUGGAUCAUCAGUACAAAACAGAGUUGAUGGUAUAUGUCAAUUCUGUAUUGGUUCUAGGCAAGUAGGUUGACAUGUUCAUCUGCUAUCAUGAGUGUCGUGUUUACACUUGCAGUUCAGAUAUUAAGCUUAAGCUAAAGAUCUCACUGUACUGUCUAGAGGUGGAACCGGGGAAUGUUGACGCUUUAUUGGUUUUGGUCACAAAAAUGUUAGCUAUACAUUCUUUCAUCUUGAUUAUAUGGACUUCUCAAGUAAUACUACUUCUCAGUUAAUUCAUUGAAGUAAUGAUACAAUCAAUUGGAUAUUUUUCUACGAUUAUGGAUCUAGAGGAAAAAAUGUUGUUUUCACAUCAUUGUUUUAAUCCAAUGUUCAGCUUUAUUGCUAUAAGCUUUACUGCUUUAGACAUUUUCGUAGGAAAUGCUGAACAUUCGUAUCAAUUGAAUCAAUGUGGCCUUACAUGUAGUGCCGUUACUGUUAAAUUUGUAGAUAUCCUAUUUUAUUCAGCAGUAACUUUAUUUUCUUUUCACUUCUUUUUUAUAAAUGUCAUGCUCAAUAGGUAAUGUCACAGCAGCUGAAUUUCUUCAUAACUGGCAUAGGCAGUUAUCUUCUUAUGUGCUGCUAUUUCUAGAGGUAACCCCUAAUCAAAUAAAAUUUUGGCAUCUGAUUCAUCACACAGUAUUUUUGCUUGGCGGAAUAAACUUCUAAGAUGACUUUCUAUACUUUGUUAGGUGAAUGGUAUGUAUAGCAUGCAUGUACCAUCAAAUACAUCUAGCCUGCCCGUAAGUGCAGUAAGAAAUAAUGAUAUGAUGAGCUAGGGUGAGAAUUUCAAAGUGUUGAAGACAGAAUCAGGCUUUUAUUUUCUUGAAUUAUUUGAAGUGGAUCAUAUAUGUAAAACUUCAAAUAAUUUCUGAACCCACUAGAUGUUGCAGCGUAGAACUACUACUUCUUCAACUUGAAAAGGGUCCAUGAUUUUUUCAUAGCUGCGUUGUUAGCUUAUCUAUUGAUUGUGGUUUUCUUCUUGGUAAUCAUAACUAAGUUUUCGCUUUACUGUAAACUGCACAUAUGCAAUUGUGAAGGGCAUUCAGUUUUUUCUUCAGAAGCAAAGAUAGUAAGCUUCUCUUAUUCCCAGGAAAGCUCUCUACUUUAUUUCGACUGUAGAGUAGAGGGGCAAAGACAAUUUAUGAGCAGAAUGGUAGUGAAGAGAGGAGCUGCACAGUGGCUUCUCGUCGUGACAACUAUUUUCUUAACCUUUUUUUACCUCUACUGUUUUGCAAUAGUUGACUUGAUGUUUUGCUUUGGCUGCUUUGCUAUGUACAAUGGGUGGUUGUAGCUGCUGCUUGUAGCAUUGUAUGGUUGAUGUGUUUUGUCUUUGAUGCAAUCCAAAUUUUGGCAGCAAUUGUUUUGAAGACACGGGAGAAGACUUGGGGCGACGUAGUAGUGUGUGGGGCGGGCGGAGCGUCGGGAAAGGCCACAGCAACACCCGCGCUUCAAUCAAUUACGAUGGCCUCUGAUCGAACCAUACUAAGCAAGUGUAAAGGAAUUGACAAAGUGCAAAAUUGUUCAAAGAAAUAUGACUUGGGGCGACGUAGCAGUGUGUGGGGCGGGCGGAGCGCCGGGAAAGGCCACAACAACACCUAUGUCAAUCGAUUACGGUGGCCUCUGACCGAACCAUACUAAGCCAGUGUAAUGGAAUCGACAAAGUGCAAAAGUGUUCAAAGAAAUAUGGCGGGUGGUCCCACAUCUCAAAAUAGAGGGAGAACUCAGUUGUGCCAUUUUAUCCAACUAUAUAUCAAACAUGUGCCUUUUUUGUCAAAGACAAAGAAAAGUGUACUAUGAAAGGAAAUAUGUGCCAUUUUUAUCAAAUGCCCUAUCCCACCCCCACCCAUGUGUUUCUCCCAAGUCAUCUGCCCUUCCCAUGCUGCCUUUGCCUCCUUCCUGCAUCACCAGAUCAUCAUCGAUGUCGGCCGCACCCGCACCAUUGUCCCAUCCACUUCUUCAUCCUCGUAUCCUACUCCCUGCAAGUGUCCAAGCAAUGGCCAACGAUGACCCGAGCUAUUUUUCUAUCUCCCGUUGCAAUGCACGGGCAUUUUUGCUAGUAAUCCCCUAA